RNAcentral lists this ribosomal RNA (463 nucleotides) under uncultured bacterium. Its description in RNAcentral is "partial 16S ribosomal RNA". It matches the Rfam family "Bacterial small subunit ribosomal RNA", at positions 28 to 507 of the family's 1533-position model. The record is from RNAcentral.
GAUGAACGCUGACAGAAUGCUUAACACAUGCAAGUCGAUGGGGAAGUGGUGCUUGCACCAUGGCAACCAUGGCGGACGGGUGAGUAACGCGUAAGGGACUUACCUGCAGGACUGGGAUAACGGGGGGAAACUCCCGACAAGACCGGAUAAUGUCAUGGAGCUGCAUGGCUUUAUGAUGAAAGGAGACGCCUGCGGAGAGCCUUGCGUCCUAUUAGCUAGUUGGUGAGGUAAUGGCUCACCAAGGCGAAGAUAGGUAGCCGGCCUGAGAGGGUGGACGGCCACAAGGGGACUGAGAUACGGCCCUUACUCCUACGGGAGGCAGCAGUGGGGAAUAUUGGACAAUGGGGGCAACCCUGAUCCAGCAAUUCUGUGUGCACGAAGAAGGUUUUCGGAUUGUAAAGUGCUUUCAGCAGGGAAGAAGUAAGUGACGGUACCUGCAGAAGAAGCGACGGCUAAAUACGUG